UAAACUGUGGUUAAGGAACUCGGCAAAUUGCCCCCGUAACUUCGGGAGAAGGGGGGCCAUGCCCGGUGAUCCACCUUGCGUGGUGAGCGGGGUGUGGCCGCAGAUACCAGGGGGAAGCGACUGUUUACUAAAAACACAGGUCCGUGCGAAGUCGUAAGACGCUGUAUACGGACUGACGCCUGCCCGGUGCCGGAACGUUAAGAGGACCGGUCAACCCUCACGGGUGAAGCUGAGAAUCUAAGCGCCGGUAAACGGCGGUGGUAACUAUAACCAUCCUAAGGUAGCGAAAUUCCUUGUCGGGUAAGUUCCGACCUGCACGAAUGGCGUAACGACUUCCCCACUGUCUCAACCACAGACCCGGCGAAAUUGCAGUACGAGUAAAGAUGCUCGUUUCGCGCAGCAGGACGGAAAGACCCCGGGACCUUCACUACAGCUUGGCAUUGGCGUUUGGAGCGUCUUGUGUAGGAUAGGUGGGAGACUGUGAAGCUCACACGCCAGUGUGGGUAGUCAUUGGUGAAAUACCACUCUGGUCGUUUCGAGCGUCUAACCCGCACCCGUGAAUCCGGGUGGGGGACAGUGCCUGGUGGGUAGUUUAACUGGGGCGGUUGCCUCCUAAAAGGUAACGGAGGCGCCCAGAGGUUCCCUCAGCCUGGUUGGUAAUCAGGUGGCGAGUGCAAGGGCACAAGGGAGCUUGACUGUGAGACGGACAUGUCGAGCAGGUGCGAAAGCAGGGCCUAGUGAUCCGGCGGUGGCAUGUGGAAGCGCCGUCGCUCAACGGCUAAAAGGUACCCCGGGGAUAACAGGCUGAUCUUCCCCAAGAGUCCAUAUCGACGGGAUGGUUUGGCACCUCGAUGUCGGCUCGUCGCAUCCUGGGGCUGGAGUAGGUCCCAAGGGUUGGGCUGUUCGCCCAUUAAAGCGGCACGCGAGCUGGGUUUAGAACGUCGCGAGACAGUUCGGUCCCUAUCCGCUGCGCGCGCAGGAGAUUUGAGAGGGUCUGUCCCUAGUACGAGAGGACCGGGACGGACGAACCUCUGGUGUGCCGGUUGUCAUGCCAAUGGCACGGCUGGUUGGCUACGUUCGGACGGGAUAACCGCUGAAAGCAUCUAAGCGGGAAGCCUUCCUCGAGAUGAGAUCUCCCACCCCCAUGAGGGGUGUAAGGCCCCCAGCUAGACCACUGGGUUGAUAGGCCAGAAAUGGAAGCACCGUAAGGUGUGGAGUUGACUGGUACUAAUAGGCCGAGCGGCUUGAACA
This 1251-nucleotide ribosomal RNA is filed under the name metagenome. Its description in RNAcentral is "bacterial LSU rRNA". It matches the Rfam family "Bacterial large subunit ribosomal RNA", at positions 1695 to 2925 of the family's 2925-position model. The record is from RNAcentral.